UGGGGAAUAUUGCGCAAUGGGCGAAAGCCUGACGCAGCGACGCCUCGUGAGGGAUGAAGGUCUUCGGAUCGUAAACCUCUGUCAAGAGGGAAGAAACCCUUGAGUUCGAACAGGACUCUUGGCUGACGGUACCUCAAAAGGAAGCACCGGCUAACUCCGUGCCAGCAGCCGCGGUAAUACGGAGGGUGCAAGCGUUAAUCGGAAUCACUGGGCGUAAAGCGCUCGUAGGCGGCAUGGUCAGUCAGACGUGAAAUCCCGUGGCUUAACCGCGGAACUGCGUUUGAUACUGCCAGGCUUGAGUGUCGGAGAGGGUGGCGGAAUUCCGGGUGUAGGAGUGAAAUCCGUAGAUAUCCGGAGGAACACCAGUGGCGAAGGCGGCCACCUGGACGACAACUGACGCUGAGGAGCGAAAGCGUGGGGAGCAAACA
RNAcentral lists this ribosomal RNA (428 nucleotides) under uncultured prokaryote. RNAcentral describes it as "bacterial SSU rRNA". It matches the Rfam family "Bacterial small subunit ribosomal RNA", at positions 355 to 774 of the family's 1533-position model. The record is from RNAcentral.